UGAACUAGAAUAAAAGACAGACACUUGGAAUUGGUUCUUCUAUCUGGUUCAUGUAGCUUCAGGUUUGCACACUUGAAUCACACUCGAAUUGCUUGCAAAAUGCCUUGCUAUUUUGCUCUCAAUUCACGUUUAACUUCUGUUUUUGUGCAUACCUGUAGAAUGAGAACAUCAUGCAAUAUAUAGAGUUAGUAAAUGAAGAAAUAACUAGCGUUCUAAUGCUACUCUUCCUUGGUGGAAGAGUUCUAGUUGAUCUCAACUUCUAACUCCUCCAUUAUCUUGGAUAGUGUUCUCUUUGAUUAAGGAGUCAUUCUCCUUAUUAAUUAUGCAACAUUUUCGAUCAGGAGAUAUCAAUUAUACCAAGUUAAGCUUAUCUCCUUCAAGUACAUCCCACAUGCUCGAAUCUGCCCGUGUCUAUACACACAAGGGAUGAACGUGAUUCAUGCUGAGCUUCCUUUGUCAAUAUUCAAAACAAACCUUCACUUGGGCCAACAAUAAUCGUACCCGUCGUGGUCUCCGUCUAAACACGAUUUUCUCUUCUCGAACCCAAUUAUCUUGAAAAUACUAGACAUUGUAUAUAUCUCUUAGUAAUUGGACUAUAGAAAUCUUGGAAUAGAUAUGAAUAAUGGUUUUUU
This 632-nucleotide long non-coding RNA is filed under the name Nicotiana tabacum (common tobacco). RNAcentral describes it as "long non-coding RNA (NTAB_LNC018598)". Lineage: Eukaryota; Viridiplantae; Streptophyta; Magnoliopsida; Solanales; Solanaceae. The record is from RNAcentral.